Molecule: transfer RNA, 84 nt
Filed under: Phenylobacterium sp.
Lineage: Bacteria; Pseudomonadati; Pseudomonadota; Alphaproteobacteria; Caulobacterales; Caulobacteraceae
Also listed under: 2 other names
Description: tRNA-Leu
Rfam family: tRNA
About the family: Transfer RNA (tRNA) molecules are approximately 80 nucleotides in length. Their secondary structure includes four short double-helical elements and three loops (D, anti-codon, and T loops).
Source: RNAcentral
GCCCGCUUGGCGGAAUCGGUAGACGCAACGGACUUAAAAUCCGUCGCCAUCGGCGUGCCGGUUCGAGUCCGGCAGCGGGCACCA